RNAcentral lists this ribosomal RNA (497 nucleotides) under uncultured bacterium. RNAcentral describes it as "partial 16S ribosomal RNA". It matches the Rfam family "Bacterial small subunit ribosomal RNA", at positions 28 to 507 of the family's 1533-position model. The record is from RNAcentral.
GAUGAACGCUGGCGGCGUGCCUAAUACAUGCAAGUCGAGCGAACGGACGAGAAGCUUGCUUCUCUGAUGUUAGCGGCGGACGGGUGAGUAACACGUGGAUAACCUACCUAUAAGACUGGGAUAACUUCGGGAAACCGGAGCUAAGACCGGAUAAUAUUUUGAACCGCAUGGUUCAAAAGUGAAAGACGGUCUUGCUGUCACUUAUAGAUGGAUCCGCGCUGCAUUAGCUAGUUGGUAAGGUAACGGCUUACCAAGGCAACGAUGCAUAGCCGACCUGAGAGGGUGAUCGGCCACACUGGAACUGAGACACGGUCCAGACUCCUACGGGAGGCAGCAGUAGGGAAUCUUCCGCAAUGGGCGAAAGCCUGACGGAGCAACGCCGCGUGAGUGAUGAAGGUCUUCGGAUCGUAAAACUCUGUUAUUAGGGAAGAACAUAUGUGUAAGUAACUGUGCACAUCUUGACGGUACCUAAUCAGAAAGCCACGGCUAACUACGUG